AACUGAAACAUCUAAGUACCCGAAGGAAGAGAAAGAAAUUCGAUUCCGCUAGUAGCGGCGAGCGAACGCGGAACAGCCCAAACCUAAGAAGUUCGCUUCUUAGGGGUUGCGGACAUAUCAUCAGGAAGAGGUUAUUACAGACGAAGAGUUUUGGAAAGCUCCGCCACAGAAGGUAACAGCCCUGUAGUCGAAGUGAGAAGACUUCCGAUAUGAUCCAGAGUACCACGGGACACGUGAAACCCCGUGGGAAGCAGGAG
RNAcentral lists this ribosomal RNA (257 nucleotides) under Acinetobacter baumannii. RNAcentral's name for it is "partial 23S ribosomal RNA". It matches the Rfam family "Bacterial large subunit ribosomal RNA", at positions 191 to 449 of the family's 2925-position model. The record is from RNAcentral. Lineage: Bacteria; Pseudomonadati; Pseudomonadota; Gammaproteobacteria; Moraxellales; Moraxellaceae.